CCUUUGAUGACGACUGGCGCACGGGUGAGUAACGCGUAUCCAACCUUCCCAUAACUACGGGAUAACCCGUUGAAAGACGGCCUAAUACCGUAUGAUAUCGUUUGCUGACAUCAAAUAACGAUUAAAGGUUUAGCGGUUAUGGAUGGGGAUGCGUCUGAUUAGCUUGUUGGCGGGGUAACGGCCCACCAAGGCAACGAUCAGUAGGGGUUCUGAGAGGAAGGUCCCCCCACAUUGGAACUGAGACACGGUCCAAACUCCUACGGGAGGCAGCAGUC
This 275-nucleotide ribosomal RNA is filed under the name uncultured Prevotella sp. RNAcentral describes it as "partial 16S ribosomal RNA". It matches the Rfam family "Bacterial small subunit ribosomal RNA", at positions 82 to 355 of the family's 1533-position model. Lineage: Bacteria; Pseudomonadati; Bacteroidota; Bacteroidia; Bacteroidales; Prevotellaceae. The record is from RNAcentral.